This is a non-coding RNA of Mycena leptocephala, 95 nucleotides long. NCBI's taxonomy places the organism in Eukaryota, Fungi, Basidiomycota, Agaricomycetes, Agaricales, Mycenaceae. The record is from the annotation of a GenBank genome assembly.
GGCAGGGAGGCGCACGGCGCGCGUUGGGUUUUAAUGUGAAUUUCGCCAGACGGCAUUACACCCCGAAUGACCUCGUUCGACUCGAGGCUCUGCCA